Molecule: transfer RNA, 84 nt
Filed under: Phycisphaera sp.
Lineage: Bacteria; Pseudomonadati; Planctomycetota; Phycisphaerae; Phycisphaerales; Phycisphaeraceae
Also listed under: 1 other name
Description: tRNA-Leu
Rfam family: tRNA
About the family: Transfer RNA (tRNA) molecules are approximately 80 nucleotides in length. Their secondary structure includes four short double-helical elements and three loops (D, anti-codon, and T loops). Further hydrogen bonds mediate the characteristic L-shaped molecular structure. tRNAs have two regions of fundamental functional importance: the anti-codon, which is responsible for specific mRNA codon recognition, and the 3' end, to which the tRNAs corresponding amino acid is attached (by aminoacyl-tRNA synthetases). tRNAs cope with the degeneracy of the genetic code in two manners: having more than one tRNA (with a specific anti-codon) for a particular amino acid; and 'wobble' base-pairing, i.e. permitting non-standard base-pairing at the 3rd anti-codon position.
Source: RNAcentral
GCCGGAGUGGCGGAAUUGGCAGACGCGGUGGAUUCAAAAUCCACUUCUGGAGACAGAGUGGGGGUUCGAGUCCCCCCUCCGGCA